UGUGGUGUGUGUGUAGAAUGAAGCUGAAAGUGCACCAGAGUUGGAUUACAGUUCCAUGCCCCUGCUAGCAGCUCUCCUCCACAGGUGGGGCAGAGAAUUGCCUUUAAGCUGCUGGAGCUAACGGAGAGCUACACGCCAGCGGUGUCACAGUAUAAAGAGGGAAAGCUUUUGAGUGUUGACCCAGCCACCAAUCAGAUUGAGGUGGAGUUAACAAAUGCUUCUGAUGCUCCUUUAGAGCCUGGAAAGUUGACUUGGUGUAUCAGAACCCAGAUGGGUCGGAGAGAGUAGAGUACGCUGUGUCCAGAGGCUCUUUGGUACAGCAUAAGCCCUAUGUACGAGGUAAUAGUA
Thalassophryne amazonica is the source of this 348-nucleotide long non-coding RNA. RefSeq lists it as uncharacterized. NCBI's taxonomy places the organism in Eukaryota, Metazoa, Chordata, Actinopteri, Batrachoidiformes, Batrachoididae. The record is from RefSeq and is a predicted model, not a curated record. The transcript has 4 exons.